RNAcentral lists this ribosomal RNA (474 nucleotides) under uncultured bacterium. Its description in RNAcentral is "bacterial SSU rRNA". It matches the Rfam family "Bacterial small subunit ribosomal RNA", at positions 23 to 507 of the family's 1533-position model. The record is from RNAcentral.
CUCAGGACGAACGCUGGCGGCACGCCUAACACAUGCAAGUCGAGCGGAGAUUGAGAGCUUGCUCUCAUGAUCAGCGGCGGACGGGUGAGUAACACGUGAGCAACCUGCCUUUCAGGAGGGGGACAACAGUUGGAAACGACUGCUAAUACCGCAUAAUAUUGCCGGCCGGCAUCGGCUGGCAAUCAAAGGAGCAAUCCGCUAGAAAGAGUGGGCUCGCGUCUGAUUAGAUAGUUGGUGAGGUAACGGCCCACCAAGUCGACGAUCAGUAGCCGGACUGAGAGGUUGAUCGGCCACAUUGGGACUGAGACACGGCCCAGACUCCUACGGGGAGGCAGCAGGUGGGGGAUAUUGGACAAUGGGGGAAACCCUGAUCCAGCGAUGCCGCGUGAGGGAAGAAGGUUUUCGGAUUGUAAACCUCUGUGGACAGGGACGAUAAUGACGGUACCUGUUUAGAAAGCCACGGCUAACUACGUG